This 441-nucleotide ribosomal RNA is filed under the name uncultured bacterium. Its description in RNAcentral is "partial 16S ribosomal RNA". It matches the Rfam family "Bacterial small subunit ribosomal RNA", at positions 338 to 795 of the family's 1533-position model. The record is from RNAcentral.
CCUACGGGGAGGCAGCAGUAGGGAAGAUUGCCCAAUGGGGGAAACCCUGAAGCAGCAACGCAGCGUGGAGGAUGAAGGUUUGCGGAUUGUAAACUCCUUUUGUGAGAGAAGAGAAUGACGGUAUCUAACGAAUAAGCACCGGCUAACUCCGUGCCAGCAGCCGCGGUAAGACGGAGGGUGCAAGCGUUACUCGGAAUCACUGGGCGUAAAGAGCGCGUAGGCGGGAUAGCAAGUCAGAUGUGAAAUCCUAUGGCUUAACCAUAGAACUGCAUUUGAAACUGUUAUUCUAGAGUAUGGGAGAGGUAGGUGGAAUUCUUGGUGUAGGGGUGAAAUCCGUAGAGAUCACGAGGAAUACUCAUUGCGAAGGCGACCUGCUAGAACAUAACUGACGCUGAUGCGCGAAAGCGUGGGGAGCAAACAGGAUUAGAUACCCCUGUAGUC